This 379-nucleotide long non-coding RNA is filed under the name Anser brachyrhynchus (Pink-footed goose). Its description in RNAcentral is "lncRNA (ENSABRG00000018848.1)". Lineage: Eukaryota; Metazoa; Chordata; Aves; Anseriformes; Anatidae. The record is from RNAcentral.
GUUGAACUUCUACAGCUUCUCCUUGAUGUCUACUAGACUAGAUUCCACGGGUUUCCUAUUGUUUAUGAGAGUUCAUGAGUUUUCUUCUUUUACCCUUGUAACACUGCUUUAGGAAGAGGUGGGAACCAAAGCAGAGGAGAGACUGCUCUUACACCAAGGCUCUAAAAUGUAGACCUGUCUGACCCAGUUUGAAACUAGCAUGGGCUCCUUCAGUUUGGAGCUGGAAACUCAGACGUCUCCUGUUAUGUGUUUGCAUGAUGUAUGCACUCUGGACAUUGCUGUACUUUAAAUAAGAAUAAUAACAGGAUGGAAAGGAGGAAAGCAUGGACAUAAAAUCAGAGGUGAGAAAGAAAAGCAAUACUUUGGGUGCAUGCUGGGA